GAGAAGAGCAACAGCAAACAAACCACAAGUGAGACAGAAUAUUAAGCCUUUUCUCGCGAGGAGAACGAUAGAGAGGAAACUCGGUUACAAUCUCCAUCAAUUCUGAGUUCUCCCUCCACGUGCUCCUCUAUUUAAUGUUUUGGUUGCCCUGGUUACAGAGGCGUUGCUACACUAAAGGGAGGGGCGAUUGUGUCUGUAGCAACGCUGAUUAGCUAAGGAAUGUAGUGUGGUGUGAAUUAGCACUUCAUUGUCGGCCCGUGACCCCUGCAGAGUUUGUCCAUCUGUUCUUCUACGCCAAAGCGUCAGAAAUGCAAACGAUAGCGAGAAAAACGAGAACCGGUGUGUUGCGCAAACCGGCUGUGGUAAGACGACUUGAAGUAAGCUACAUUCGAUUAUCAACAAAUGAGAUGAGAUGACAGGACACUCCACUCGUGCAAUCAUUUACUAUGGUCACUGCAGUCUUCAUCAUCAUCAUCAUCAUUGUCCAUGUCCUUUUGACACUUUUUGCCUUUUUCUUUGCUACCGUUGUCCUCUUCUUUUUGGUCCAGAUGAGAGUUGACUCUAUAAUAGUGGAGGAGAAAAUAUCAUCAGCAUCAGAGUCAGAGUCAGAGGUCAACUAGUAACUUGAGAGCAUGAGCUCCCAAACUGUAGUAGGUUCCAACAGGGUGUAAAUGUGUGUGUGAGAUGACAUAAUUACACAGUUAUGUUGUUUCCUAUUUGGCCCAAACCAAAUAGAAACGGUUCAAAUUUCUGACUCAAAACCACAACUUUUAUCUGCUAUAUUACGCCCUCUACUGUCAAAACAAAGUAACUUGUGUGAGGUAACUCAGCCACAGGAUGGCAGUCUCCUCAAACAUCCAUCCAUCCAUCCAUUUUCUGUACCGCUUAGUCCCCACUGGGGUCGCGGGCGUGCUGGAGCCUAUCCCAGCCGUCAUCGGGCAGUAGGCGGGGGACACCCUGAACCGGUUGCCAGCCAAUCGCAGGGCACACAGAGACAAACAACCACUUGCACUCGCACUCACACCUAGGGACAAUCUGGAGUGUUCAAUCGGCCUACCAAGCAUGUCUUUGGGAUGUGGGAGGAAACCGGAGUGCCCGGAGAAAACCCACGCGGGCCCGGGGAGAACAUGCAAACUCCACACAGGGAGGGCCGGAGGUGGAAUCGAACCCGCACCCUCCUAACCGUGAGGCGGACGUGCUACCCAAGUGCGCCACCGAGCCGCCCCUCCUCAAACAAUAAAAUGCUAAUCAAGAAUAAAUGAUUAAAUCCUUCUGUUGUAAGAAA
Long non-coding RNA from Syngnathus typhle (broad-nosed pipefish), 1285 nucleotides. RefSeq lists it as uncharacterized. NCBI's taxonomy places the organism in Eukaryota, Metazoa, Chordata, Actinopteri, Syngnathiformes, Syngnathidae. The transcript has 2 exons. The record is from RefSeq and is a predicted model, not a curated record.